Small nuclear RNA from Solanum stenotomum, 161 nucleotides. RefSeq annotates it as U1 spliceosomal RNA. The record is from RefSeq and is a predicted model, not a curated record. NCBI's taxonomy places the organism in Eukaryota, Viridiplantae, Streptophyta, Magnoliopsida, Solanales, Solanaceae. The transcript has a single exon.
AUACUUACUUGAACAGGGUCAAUGGGCGAUCAUUAAGGCCCAUGGCCUAGGUUGAUGACCUUCACUGCACUUUGGAGGGGCGACCGCCUAAGGUCGGCCCAAGUGAUUGAGCUUAUGUCAUAAUUUGUGGUAGAGGGGGCCAGAGUUUGUGCGGCCCCUAC